This is a long non-coding RNA of Pan troglodytes (chimpanzee), 457 nucleotides long. RefSeq lists it as uncharacterized. The transcript is spliced from 3 exons. NCBI's taxonomy places the organism in Eukaryota, Metazoa, Chordata, Mammalia, Primates, Hominidae. The record is from RefSeq and is a predicted model, not a curated record.
AGUUUCCAUGGCAACAGGCUAUGAUGUCACAGAUGCCUGCAACAGCAGAAUGAGAAGAAAGCAGGGAAAUGCUUUGACACAUGGAGUUGAUAUUGUAAAAGGAUGAUAGCUAGUCAUUCAUGCGGUUGGCUGCCAAGAUGUCCCCUGCAGUUAAAGACUGAUCCUCGCCCAGCUCUGGAGAAUACGAGCAACCAGUGCAUCAGCUCUGUAUCGGCCAAAUAAAAUCAAUCUGGCUCUCAGAUGCAUUGGAAACUUCAAAUUAAAGCAGGACAAAUAGCCUAAGUAUGCCCUAAUCCUUUAAAAAUAGUUUCUCAGUGCCCAUACCUAAUUAUAUAGCUCUUGGCAAUUGAACUGUCUUUCAAAGAAGUGAGUAUGUAAUAGCACCCACUUCAUAAGAAAGAAAAUUUUAUGAAGUUGUUUGAGUCAGAACCACAAUCCUAAUAAAAUGUAUUUUAUG